GAUGAACGCUGGCGGCGUGCCUAAUACAUGCAAGUCGAGCGAACGGACGAGAAGCUUGCUUCUCUGAUGUUAGCGGCGGACGGGUGAGUAACACUUGGAUAACCUACCUAUAAGACUGGGAUAACUUCGGGAAACCGGAGCUAAUACCGGAUAAUAUUUUGAACCGCAUGGUUCAAAAGUGAAAGACGGUCUUGCUGUCACUUAUAGGUGGAUCCGCGCUGCAUUAGCUAGUUGGUAAGGUAACGGCUUACCAAGGCAACGAUGCAUAGCCGACCUGAGAGGGUGAUCGGCCACACUGGAACUGAGACACGGUCCAGACUCCUACGGGAGGCAGCAGUAGGGAAUCUUCCGCAAUGGGCGAAAGCCUGACGGAGCAACGCCGCGUGAGUGAUGAAGGUCUUCGGAUCGUAAAACUCUGUUAUUAGGGAAGAACAUAUGUGUAAGUAACUGUGCACAUCUUGACGGUACCUAAUCAGAAAGCCACGGCUAACUACGUG
Molecule: ribosomal RNA, 497 nt
Filed under: uncultured bacterium
Lineage: Bacteria
Description: partial 16S ribosomal RNA
Rfam family: Bacterial small subunit ribosomal RNA
Source: RNAcentral